Non-coding RNA from Parelaphostrongylus tenuis, 82 nucleotides. The record is from the annotation of a GenBank genome assembly. NCBI's taxonomy places the organism in Eukaryota, Metazoa, Nematoda, Chromadorea, Rhabditida, Metastrongylidae.
GCAGCAAUGUCUGAGUGAUUAAGGAGAUUGACUUGAAAUCUAUUUGGCUCUACCCGCAUAGGUUCGAAUCCUUUUCGCUGCG